UGAGUCGUUUUUUGCGUUCUGUUCAGCCUGCGAGUCGAGAGGGUUCGGCCCUCGGCUGACGGCUCAGCAACACGUGGAUAAUCUGCCCUUAGGUGGAGGAUACCCUCGGGAAACUGAGAAUAAUACUCCAUAGGUCUAGGAUGCUGGAAUGCACUUAGACUGAAAAUUCCGGUGCCUAAGGAUGAGUCUGCGGACUAUCAGGUUGUAGUCAGGGUAAAGACCUGACUAGCCUAUGACGGAUACGGGUUGUGAGAGCAAUAACCCGGAGAUGAUAUCUGAGACACGAUAUCAGGCCCUACGGGGCGCAGCAGGCGCGAAAACUUCACAAUGUGCGAAAGCACGAUGAGGGAAUCCCAAGUGCUUGCACGUAAGUGCAAGCUGUUUCUAUGUCUAAAACACAUAGAGAGUAAGGGCUGGGUAAGACGGGUGCCAGCCGCCGCGGUAAUACCUGCAGCUCAAGUGGUGGCCGCUAUUAUUGGGCCUAAAACGUCCGUAGCCGGUUUAAUAAAUGCCUGGGUAAAUUGUAUAGCUUAACUAUACGAAUUCCGGGUAGACUGAUAAACUUGAGACCGGGGGAAGUUAGAGGUACUCCUGGGGUAGAGGUGAAAUUCUGUAAUCCUAGGGGGACCACCGGUGGCGAAGGCGUCUGACUAAAACGGGUCUGACGGUGAGGGACGAAGCCCUGGGGCGCAAACGGGAUUAGAUACCCCGGUAGUCCAGGGUGUAAACGCUGCUUGCUUGAUGUUAGUCGGGCUUCGAGCCCGAUUAGUGUCGGAGAGAAGUUGUUAAGCAAGCUGCCUGGGAAGUACGGCCCGCAAGACUGAAACUUAAAG
Molecule: ribosomal RNA, 833 nt
Filed under: uncultured archaeon
Lineage: Archaea
Description: bacterial SSU rRNA
Rfam family: Archaeal small subunit ribosomal RNA
Source: RNAcentral